GUCGGGUGAGCCUAGUGUCCUGAGUCAGAGAUUCGCGAACCCGGCCGUGCGAUGACGUUUAUCUCUAUCGACCGAGGUUAUUUUUUAUGUCUACCGGUAUUGUUAAGUGGUUCAACGAAUCCAAGGGAUUCGGUUUCAUCGCCCCGGAAGAGGGCGGCGCCGAUGUCUUCGUGCAUUACUCCGCCAUCCAGGCCGAGGGCUUCAAGACCCUGGCCGAAGGCCAGCGCGUGAGCUUCCAGGUGCAGCAGGGUCCGAAGGGCCUGCAGGCCGUGAAUGUCACGCCGGCAUAAGGGACUGAAUCAGAACCGGACCCGAAAUAAAGAACCCCGCCAGUGGCGGGGUUCUUUAU
RNAcentral lists this non-coding RNA (349 nucleotides) under Thioalkalivibrio sulfidiphilus HL-EbGr7. RNAcentral's name for it is "Thioalkalivibrio sulfidophilus HL-EbGr7 cspA thermoregulator". It matches the Rfam family "cspA thermoregulator", at positions 92 to 428 of the family's 428-position model. The record is from Rfam by way of RNAcentral. Lineage: Bacteria; Pseudomonadati; Pseudomonadota; Gammaproteobacteria; Chromatiales; Ectothiorhodospiraceae.